Molecule: microRNA precursor, 125 nt
Organism: Brassica oleracea var. oleracea
Lineage: Eukaryota; Viridiplantae; Streptophyta; Magnoliopsida; Brassicales; Brassicaceae
Rfam family: MIR9563 microRNA precursor family
Source: Rfam
AGAAGUUAAUAAAUUGUUUCUUAACUUUUAACUAAAAAAGUUAAGAAUCGGUUCUUAACUAAGGAUUUUAAGAACCGGUUCUUAACUUUUUUAGUUAAAAGUUAAGAAACGGUUUUUUAACUUCC